GAUGAACGCUAGCGGCAGGCCUAACACAUGCAAGUCGAGGGGCAUCGCGGUGCAGCAAUGCACUGGCGGCGACCGGCGUACGGGUGCGUAACGCGUAUGCAACCUGCCCCGCACCGGGGAUAGCCCGCCGAAAGGCGGAUUAAUACCCCAUGGUCCCGGGGGCCCGCAUGGGCAUCCGGGUAAAGCCUUGGCGGUGCGGGAUGGGCAUGCGUGCCAUUAGCUGGCUGGUGGGGUAACGGCCCACCAGGGCAACGAUGGCUAGGGGGUCUGAGAGGAUGGUCCCCCACACUGGUACUGAGACACGGACCAGACUCCUACGGGAGGCAGCAGUGAGGAAUAUUGGUCAAUGGGCGGAAGCCUGAACCAGCCAUGCCGCGUGCGGGAUGAAGGCCCUACGGGUUGUAAACCGCUUUUCCCCGGGAAGAAUAACCCCGAUGAGUCGGGGGAUGCCGGUACCGGGGGAAUAAGGAUCGGCUAACUCCGUG
Molecule: ribosomal RNA, 485 nt
Filed under: uncultured bacterium
Lineage: Bacteria
Description: bacterial SSU rRNA
Rfam family: Bacterial small subunit ribosomal RNA
Source: RNAcentral